AGGUUUCGACGGGGGUGUGGAAGCGGGAUAAGCGAGCCGUAGUUUGCUCAGUCUACGUUAAAAAGGGCACGUUAAAGAUAAACGCGAAAACUAACAACAAUUACGCACUGGCAGCAUAGCCUGCCCGCGUCGCCAAACCCCAUUCACCUGCAGGUGAGGAUGCGGUGUCAUAAUGCAGGAAAACUCUGUGUGAGCUCCCGGUAGCACAGGGGACCAACGGGAUAGCUAAGACCGUGACGUGCCGGAUGAAGCACGGGCGAGGCGAAUAAAAACAGCGCCGGCUGCGCUCGGAGAAACUCCCUGUGGAAAUGCUUUCGGACGUGGGUUCGACUCCCACCAUCUCCACCA
RNAcentral lists this transfer-messenger RNA (348 nucleotides) under Eubacteriales Family XIII. Incertae Sedis bacterium. Its description in RNAcentral is "partial transfer-messenger RNA". It matches the Rfam family "transfer-messenger RNA". Rfam says of the family: Bacterial tmRNA, also known as 10Sa RNA or SsrA, is named for its dual tRNA and mRNA-like properties. Lineage: Bacteria; Bacillati; Bacillota; Clostridia; Peptostreptococcales; Anaerovoracaceae. The record is from RNAcentral.